RNAcentral lists this ribosomal RNA (464 nucleotides) under uncultured bacterium. Its description in RNAcentral is "SSU rRNA". It matches the Rfam family "Bacterial small subunit ribosomal RNA", at positions 26 to 518 of the family's 1533-position model. The record is from RNAcentral.
AGGACUAACGCUGGCGGCGUGCCUAACACAUGCAAGUCGAGCGGGGUAGCAAUACCCAGCGGCAGACGGGUGAGUAACGCGUGGUCAACCUUCCGUUGAAUGGGGGAUAACUAGCCGAAAGGUUAGCUAAUACCGCAUACGAUCUUUUGAAGGCAUCUUUAAAAGAUGAAAGGAGCAAUUCGUUCAACGACGGGACCGCGUCCCAUUAGCUAGAUGGUGGGGUAAUGGCCUACCAUGGCAACGAUGGGUAGCUGGUUUGAGAGAGCGACCAGCCACACUGGGACUGAGAAACGGCCCAGACUCCUACGGGAGGCAGCAGUGAGGAUUUUCCGCAAUGGGCGAAAGCCUGACGGAGCGACGCCGCGUGUGGGAAGAAGGCCUUCGGGUCGUAAACCACUGUCGAAGGGGACGAUAAUGACGGUACCCUUGGAGGAAGCCCCGGCUAACUACGUGCCAGCAGCCGC